This 441-nucleotide ribosomal RNA is filed under the name uncultured bacterium. RNAcentral describes it as "bacterial SSU rRNA". It matches the Rfam family "Bacterial small subunit ribosomal RNA", at positions 338 to 795 of the family's 1533-position model. The record is from RNAcentral.
CCUANGGGAGGCUGCAGUAGGGAAUAUUGCACAAUGGGCGAAAGCCUGAUGCAGCAACGCCGCGUGUGCGAUGAAGGCCUUCGGGUCGUAAAGCACUUUUCUGGGAGAUGAGAAAGGACAGUAUCCCAGGAAUAAGUCUCGGCUAACUACGUGCCAGCAGCCGCGGUAAAACGUAGGAGGCAAGCGUUAUCCGGAUUCACUGGGCGUAAAGCGCGUGCAGGCGGUUUGGUAAGUUGGGCGUGAAAUCUCCCGGCUCAACUGGGAGGGGUCGUUCAAAACUACCAGACUCGAGAGUGAUAGAGGAGAAUGGAAUUCCCGGUGUAGUGGUGAAAUGCGUAGAUAUCGGGAGGAACACCAGUGGCGAAAGCGAUUCUCUGGAUCAUUUCUGACGCUCAGACGCGAAAGCUAGGGUAGCAAACGGGAUUAGAUACCCCANUANUC